Molecule: ribosomal RNA, 456 nt
Filed under: uncultured bacterium
Lineage: Bacteria
Description: bacterial SSU rRNA
Rfam family: Bacterial small subunit ribosomal RNA
Source: RNAcentral
GGUGAACGGCUGGCGGCGUGCCUAACACAUGCAAGUCGAGCGGUGCAGUUUGAAGCUUCGGUGGAAAGCUGCAUAGCGGCGGACGGGUGAGGAAAACGUAGGAACGUGCCCCUUGGAGUUGGAUAGCCACGGGAAACUGUGGGUAAACCGACAUAGACUCGAGAGAGUAAAGGCCGAAAGGCGCCAAGGGAGCGGCCUGCGGCCCAUCAGGUAGUUGGUAGUGUAAAGGACUACCAAGCCGACGACGGGUAGCCGGUCUGAGAGGAUGGCCGGCCACAAGGGCACUGAGAGACGGGCCCUACUCCUACGGGAGGCAGCAGUGGGGGAUUUUGGACAAUGGGCGAAAGCCUGAUCCAGCGACGCCGCGUGGAGGACGAAGCCCUUCGGGGUGUAAACUCCUUUUCUCAGGGAAAAAGGAUGAUGGUACCUGAGGAAUAAGCCCCGGCUAACUACGUG